Molecule: ribosomal RNA, 246 nt
Filed under: uncultured bacterium
Lineage: Bacteria
Description: partial 16S ribosomal RNA
Rfam family: Bacterial small subunit ribosomal RNA
Source: RNAcentral
UGUCGCCUACGGGACGCAGCAGUAGGGAAUUUUCGUCAAUGGGCGCAAGCCUGAACGAGCAAUGCCGCGUGAACGAGGAAGGUCUUCGGAUCGUAAAGUUCUGUUGAAGGGGAAAAAGAGCGGAGAGAGGAAAUGGUCUCCGAUUGAUAUUACCCUUCGAGGAAGUCACGGCUAACUACGUGCCAGCAGCCGCGGUAAUACGUAGGUGGCGAGCGUUAUCCGGAAUGAUUGGGCAUAAAGGGUGCG